UACGUAGGGUGCGAGCGUUGUCCGGAAUUACUGGGCGUAAAGAGCUCGUAGGUGGUUUGUCGCGUUGUUCGUGAAAACUCACAACUCAAUUGUGGGCGUGCGGGCGAUACGGGCAGACUGGAGUACUGCAGGGGAGACUGGAAUUCCUGGUGUAGCGGUGGAAUGCGCAGAUAUCAGGAGGAACACCGAUGGCGAAGGCAGGUCUCUGGGCAUUAACUGACGCUGAGGAGCGAAAGCGUGGGGAGCGAACAGG
Molecule: ribosomal RNA, 253 nt
Filed under: uncultured bacterium
Lineage: Bacteria
Description: partial 16S ribosomal RNA
Rfam family: Bacterial small subunit ribosomal RNA
Source: RNAcentral